This 35-nucleotide small nucleolar RNA is filed under the name Schizosaccharomyces osmophilus. The record is from RNAcentral. Lineage: Eukaryota; Fungi; Ascomycota; Schizosaccharomycetes; Schizosaccharomycetales; Schizosaccharomycetaceae.
AACCCAGCUCACUCGGAGUAUAUACAUUGACGAGU